This 251-nucleotide long non-coding RNA is filed under the name Elaeis guineensis (African oil palm). Its description in RNAcentral is "long non-coding RNA (EGUI_LNC026297)". The record is from RNAcentral. Lineage: Eukaryota; Viridiplantae; Streptophyta; Magnoliopsida; Arecales; Arecaceae.
UGGUAAAUAAAUAAAACUUUCUUUCAAAUUAUUUAAAAAUUUUGUAGAAAAUCAUAUAAUUUAUUUUCUUCCAAAUAAAUAUACUUUUUUGCUAUUUAAAUUUUUAAGGUACAAAUUGAAUGCGAUAGUUGAGGAUGACACUACUGAUACCAGCUUUAUUAUAUUCAAAAAAUUGGUACAAAAAUUUAUUAUAUAGGGAGCUUAUCAAGUGAGAGGAGUGGUUUAAUGUGAGAGGUGAGAGGAUAUAGUAA